UCCAGAACAGGCCCAGAAUUGAAAGGGAAAGAAAUUCUGGGCUGGUGGCCUUGCAAGAUGGGUGAUCACUGACCAGAGCCAGGAAUCUCUGACUCCUGCCCAAGAGAGGAAGAACUGGCACGACAGACAGACACGACUGGACUGUGGUGACAGCCACCUCCUGGUUGCGACAUGGUAAAGGGACCUGGGAAAGCAAAAACUUGACCAAAGCAUGCAAUUCCUGCCUCAACAGAGGAGAGGUCAGGGAGGAGCACGGGGAGGCGGCUUCCUGCCUGGGGUUACUGUCCGACUGAGCCUGAGGCCGAGGGUGAGCCAGGAGCCCUGCUCUCCUCUCCCCUCUGCAGUUAAAGGAUCCUCAGCAGCUUCUUGGGAGUGGGCAGCUGGCACUUUGGCCCAAAGGCUGAAAAGAGAAGAAAUUGUCAGCCAGUGUCUAAUGUUAUUUUCAAGGGUGGAGCCAGACCAAGUGACGGAUCCAGCCUUCCUCUGGAAGCCCCAACGUUAUAAAAACUUCCUCUCUGGCUGAAUUCAAAACUAAAAACCUUCUAAAUCAUUCAGCUGUGGCACUGGCUCUUGAUUCUCAAGGUACAGUUGGUUAAAAGCCCCAACAGUGGCCGUGCCACCCAUGUCUCAGGACAGGAGCUACAUGGUUCAGAAGCCUUCGGAACUGGUUUUGGGGAGGAGCUUGGAAAGGUUUGGAAAUGCCAGCUAGAGAAACACCUCUGGGAUGCUGUAAGCCAAACCUGAUGGGUGAGUCUGGUUGGAGGAGGCUCGAAGACCAGAAUGCUGAUAGAAAUGCAGCCCACAACGACCAGGCUCAAGAGGUUCCAGCUGGGAACAAAGACCGCACUGGUAGCUGGACUCCAGCCUGAAAAUCUGAACCACAUACUAGAUCUGACUUCUGUGGGAACGCCACCGACGAAACACCCGGCACACGUGCUUGGCCGCUGCCGCGGGCAGCACAAGUCCUCAUGCGCACGGCCUCGAGUGUCAGAAUCUCUCCCUUCAUGCCUGAACGGAGUUCCAUUGCGAGGACGGCUGUAUCUCCACCCACCAGUUCUGGAGACUGGAAUUUCCUAACUGGAGUGUCAGCAUGGCCUGGUUCUGGGGAUGGCCCUUGACUUGCCUUUCAGAUGACCACCUGCUCACAGGGUUCUUCUGUGAUUCCCUGCGCCUUCUCUCCCAAACUCUGAUGUCUCUUUUCUUCAUACAAGGACCUUAUUGCAACCUGGAUCACGGCCCCUCCUUUCUAUCAUAACGACACCCUGAAAGGCCUUAUCUCUCAGGACAAGCACGCUGGCAAAUGGAGAGUCCACAUGACUUUUGGGGAAUGUGAUUCAUUCCUGCCUCAGACACUGCACCACCUCUGCGUGCUGGAUGACAGUGAUAUAGUACCGAGCUUCGCAACCCAGCACUGUGGACAUUGGGGACCGAACGACUUUUCGGGGCCUUUCCUGGACAUGAUAGGACAUUCAGCAGCAUCCUUAACCUCUGUCCCAUCAGAUACCAGUAACAUAAUUCUAGUUGUGACAACAAAAAAUGUGGCUAGGCAUUGUGAUUGCCAGAGGUGACAAAAUUACUGUAAGCUGAGAGGGAGAGAGAGAGAGAGAGAGAGAGAGAGAGAGAGAGAGAGAGAGAGAGAGAGAAAGAGAGAGAGAGAGAGAGAGAGAGAGAGAGAGAGAGAGAGAUUGUAAUGAGUGAAAUCUUUGAGAGAGAGCAAGAGAUGGGAUUCUGUGUUGUAACCAGAGCUCGAUGAGAGAAGAGGGAAUCUACCUGUUGGGAGACCUAGGUGGGGAUUGGUCAGUGGAGGACACGUACUAGUUUGUUUCUUUAAGUUAUACUGACACCUAAUAACUGUACAUAUUUAUGGAGUGCCAUGCUAUAUUUCGAUGUGUGUACACAUUGUACGAUGAUCAAGUCAGCACAGCAUGUAGAGAAUAUGCCAUUUUUGUGCUGAGAGGAUCUGGCAUCCUCUCUUCUGGCUGUGCUGAAACACACAAUACAUUGUCAGCUCUGAUUAUCCUGCUGUGCGGUGGAAGGCCAGAGCUGAUUCCCCGUAACUAACUAGAGAUUGGACACUCUGACUGGCUUUCCCCACCCCUCGGCCUUCCUCGCUCCAGCCUACGGUCACUGUGAUUCUCUAAACUUCUGUGCGAUCAACAUUUUAGAUUCCACAUAUGACUAAGAUUAAGCUCUCCUUGUCUAUCCAUUUCUGUCUUAUUAUUAAUAACACAGUGUCCUCCAGGUUCACCUGUGAUGUGACACGGGGCAGGAUUUCCUACUUCAUCAUGGAUGAAGGACAGCAGCCUCUUUAACACACGGUGCUGGAAAAACUAGAUUUCAACGUGCAAAUAAUUAAACUUGAGCCCUGUCUCUCACCAUGUGAAAAAUCAGCACAAAAUACAUAAAGACUGUUAGAGGCAAGAACUACCGAAGAAAGCAUAGUGUCUUCUUACACGUGUUUCUCAGUGACAUCCGGCAUCUGUGGAGGAAGCAGGACUUUGCCGCAUAUCCACAGCCACCUGUGAGUCAGUGAUGUCCUGCUGGGAGCCUUCCCUGAGAAGAACUGCUUCUUCAGGAGCUAAUACUGGCAGGUUCUUGUGACACUGCUUAACCUGUUUAUUAGAGUCCAACACAUGUUGGAGCUCUUGAUGGAUUUUGUUCUCCAAGACUGUAAGUUAUUUGAAGAUGGGCACUGCCCUGUAUGUAUUUAUAGUUAGCCCCUAGCAGGCACUCAAUAAAUGUUUUAUUGAAAGAA
This is a long non-coding RNA of Cavia porcellus (domestic guinea pig), 2755 nucleotides long. RefSeq lists it as uncharacterized. The transcript is spliced from 4 exons. The record is from RefSeq and is a predicted model, not a curated record. Lineage: Eukaryota; Metazoa; Chordata; Mammalia; Rodentia; Caviidae.